CGGACUACCAGGGUAUCUAAUCCUGUUCGCUCCCCACGCUUUCGCUCCUCAGUGUCAGUAUUGGCCCAGAGACCUGCCUUCGCCGUUGGUGUUCCUCCUGAUAUCUGCGCAUUCCACCGCUACACCAGGAAUUCCAGUCUCCCCUACCAAACUCUAGUUUGCUCGUAUCGAAUGCAGGCCUGAGGUUGAGCCUCAGGUUUUCACAUCCGACGUGGCAAACGACCUACGAGCUCUUUACGCCCAAUAAUUCCGGACAACGCUUGCACCCUAUGUAUUACCGCGGCGGCUGGCACC
Molecule: unclassified non-coding RNA, 294 nt
Filed under: uncultured fungus
Lineage: Eukaryota; Fungi
Description: sequence contains ITS1
Source: RNAcentral